This 419-nucleotide ribosomal RNA is filed under the name bacterium. RNAcentral describes it as "partial 16S ribosomal RNA". It matches the Rfam family "Bacterial small subunit ribosomal RNA", at positions 355 to 776 of the family's 1533-position model. The record is from RNAcentral.
UGGGGGAUAUUGCACAAUGGGCGAAAGCCUGAUGCUGCGACGCCGCGUGGGGGAUGAAGGCCUUCGGGUUGUAAACUUCUUUUGCUCUGAACAAGGCGCACCAUGGGGUGUGUUGAGUGUAGGGGUUGAUUAGCGCCGGCUAACUACGUGCCAGCAGCCGCGGUAAUACGUAGGGCGCGAGCGUUGUCCGGAAUUAUUGGGCGUAAAGGGCUUGUAGGUGGCUGGUUGCGUCUGUCGUGAAAGCUCAUGGCUUAACUGUGGGUUUGCGGUGGGUACGGGCUGACUUGAGUGCAGUAGGGGAGGCUGGAAUUCCUGGUGUAGCGGUGGAAUGCGCAGAUAUCAGGAGGAAUACCGGUGGCGAAGGCGGGUCUCUGGGCUGUUACUGACACUGAGGAGCGAAAGCAUGGGGAGCGAACAGG